RNAcentral lists this ribosomal RNA (555 nucleotides) under uncultured fungus. Its description in RNAcentral is "eukaryotic LSU rRNA". It matches the Rfam family "Eukaryotic large subunit ribosomal RNA", at positions 71 to 650 of the family's 3401-position model. Lineage: Eukaryota; Fungi. The record is from RNAcentral.
GGGAUUCCCCUAGUAACGGCGAGUGAAGCGGGAACAGCUCAAAUUUGAAAUCUGGCCUUCGGGUCCGAAUUGUAAUUUGCAGAGGAUGCUUUUGGUUAGGCACUUUCCGAGUUCCCUGGAACGGGACGCCUUAGAGGGUGAGAGCCCCGUACGGUUGGAUACCGAGCCUUUGUAAAGCUCCUUCGACGAGUCGAGUAGUUUGGGAAUGCUGCUCUAAAUGGGAGGUAAAUUUCUUCUAAAGCUAAAUACCGGCCAGAGACCGAUAGCGCACAAGUAGAGUGAUCGAAAGAUGAAAAGCACUUUGAAAAGAGGGUUAAAUAGCACGUGAAAUUGUUGAAAGGGAAGCGUUUAUGACCAGACUUUUUCCAGGCGGAUCAUCCGGUGUUCUCACCGGUGCACUUCGUCUGGUUGAGGCCAGCAUCGGUUUUCGUAGAGGGAUAAAAGCUUUAGGAAUGUGGUUCCUUCGGGAAUGUUAUAGCCUAUUGUAUAAUACCUUUAUGGGGACCGAGGUUCGCGCAUCUGCAAGGAUGCUGGCGUAAUGGUCAUCAACGACCC